UAUUGACCUCACGUCGUCCACAAGCGGGAGGCACGGGCAGCACCCCAAUCUCGGCGUCGUCGACUCUCUCCCUCCUCCACCUCACCACUGUUGGAUCGCUCCUCCGUGAGGCUUGUGCAGGCGCAAGGAACGCAGCGGCGGCCUCCCUGUACCCUGGGGUCACAGCUGCUAUCCUGGGUAGCAAUGGCUUCGUUGGCCAGAUCCGGUGCCUUGGUGGCCGGAUCCGGUGUCUCUAAGGUUGGAUCUGCAUGGUGCUUUUUCGGCAGGGCGCAACGGCAGUAGUGGAGGCGCGAUGGGUCGUAGGCCACCGGUCAGUCUCCAUCGGAUUGGGCACAUGAGGUAGGAGAUAGGGGAAGGAAGGGGUAGUACAGAUUCUUGUGUGCUUGUUCAAUGAGAGAUUACUUAAUUAUCCAAUCAGAGGAGCUCCUGUCGUGCUUGAGGAGGAAUUCUGGUUUAUUUCCAAUUGACAGUCGCUGAAAAAUAAUAUCCAGUAUGGAAGUCUUUACUGAGUGUAGGAGGCUAAGGGCAGUGCCUACGUUUUCAAGGGCGUUUUGAAGAGCAUUAGCUGAUUUCAUGUAUAGUUAGUGAUGAUGCCAUGAUAUUGAUUUUGGGCACCUGACGUGAGAGCUUUAUUAUAAUAGUUUUUGCAAACUUGAAUGUAACGAGCAUGAUGUCAAAUUCAAGGAAACAGGCCACACUAAAAUGUACUUCCCUCAAGGAAACAAGGCACACUAAGAUAUACUUCCCUCAGGGAGCUUCCAUCGCCUGAGUGGGGAGCAGCACGACACGGGUGUGAGCGCAUGCACUGGCGCAAGUGAAAUCAAAUUGGAGGAGGUUGCUAUUCUGAAUUACGCCUACACAAAGCUCUUCGACUUCAUCUCAAGGUGGAAUAUGGGUGUUGCUGAACAAUGUGAAGCUAUGUUUUAUCUUGGAAUUUGACAGAAUGGAAAUUGGCUUUGUUGGUAGUCUCUUCGGAUUGUUUAGCUAGGUGAACAUACCUUAUUGUACGAAGAACAGUCAUUUACUGAUCUGCUGACGCUCUUGCCAUGCCGAAGUAUAAAAAAUCUUUAUCAGGUUUAUCAAAUACUUCAUCCAUCCCAAAUUCAUUCCAAGAAUCUUGGAG
Molecule: long non-coding RNA, 1123 nt
Organism: Sorghum bicolor (sorghum)
Lineage: Eukaryota; Viridiplantae; Streptophyta; Magnoliopsida; Poales; Poaceae
Exons: 5
Source: RefSeq, a predicted model, not a curated record